UACGUAGGGUGCGAGCGUUAAUCGGAAUUACUGGGCGUAAAGCGUGCGCAGGCGGUUUUGUAAGUCUGACGUGAAAUCCCCGGGCUCAACCUGGGAACUGCAUUUGUGACUGCACGGCUGGAGUGCGGCAGAGGGGGAUGGAAUUCCGCGUGUAGCAGUGAAAUGCGUAGAUAUGCGGAGGAACACCGAUGGCGAAGGCAAUCCCCUGGGCCUGCACUGACGCUCAUGCACGAAAGCGUGGGGAGCAAACAGG
This 253-nucleotide ribosomal RNA is filed under the name uncultured bacterium. Its description in RNAcentral is "partial 16S ribosomal RNA". It matches the Rfam family "Bacterial small subunit ribosomal RNA", at positions 524 to 776 of the family's 1533-position model. The record is from RNAcentral.